RNAcentral lists this ribosomal RNA (424 nucleotides) under uncultured bacterium. RNAcentral's name for it is "bacterial SSU rRNA". It matches the Rfam family "Bacterial small subunit ribosomal RNA", at positions 354 to 796 of the family's 1533-position model. The record is from RNAcentral.
GUGGGGAAUAUUGCACAAUGGAGGAAACUCUGAUGCAGCGACGCCGCGUGAACGAUGAAGGCUUUCGGGUCGUAAAGUUCUGUCCUAGGGGACGAUAAUGACGGUACCCUAGGAGGAAGCCCCGGCUAACUACGUGCCAGCAGCCGCGGUAAUACGUAGGGGGCAAGCGUUGUCCGGAUUUAUUGGGCGUAAAGGGUUCGCAGGUGGUCCUUUAAGUCAGAUGUGAAAGAUCACAGCUCAACUGUGGUAAGCAUUUGAAACUGAAGGACUUGAGUUAAGGAGAGGAAAGUGGAAUUCCUAGUGUAGCGGUGAAAUGCGUAGAUAUUAGGAGGAAUACCAGUGGCGAAGGCGACUUUCUGGACUUAUACUGACACUGAGGAACGAAAGCGUGGGGAGCAAACAGGAUUAGAAACCCUUGUAGUCC